RNAcentral lists this long non-coding RNA (11663 nucleotides) under Nicotiana tabacum (common tobacco). RNAcentral describes it as "long non-coding RNA (NTAB_LNC002325)". Lineage: Eukaryota; Viridiplantae; Streptophyta; Magnoliopsida; Solanales; Solanaceae. The record is from RNAcentral.
GCUUUUGAACCCUAAGAAGAAGAAGGCCAACCGUCACCUAACUCCAUCUUCACCUUAGAGCCAUCUCACCUCCCUUCAUAGACCUAACCGCCGCACCACCCAUCUCUGACGCCUAUCGCCGCCGCGCCACCACCAAAGAAAAAGGCAGCCACUCCACCCUCAACAAAAACCCGCCGGAAACCUAACACACUCCACCCUUCUCGAUCUACCAACGACCUCACUCUCCCUUUCACUUUGAGAGACAACAACCAAUCUCUCAUUUUCCAAAAUGAAAGAAACGACAAAAAACAGAAGGGGAAUGGGAUUUGGAAAACGAAACAGAGCAGAGAACAGACUACCCUAGAGCUAAUGGCCGCACUCCCUUAUGUUUGAGACUCUAAUCUCUUUGUUUUUCACGCCUCAUCAACGACUCCCAUACCCCUAUUCUUAUCUUCUCCCAUAUCUCUCUCUCUUUCCGUAGCUACUGCCGUCGCCAUCAUUUAAGCCGCCGUUGCCAAAAAUCUGCCGCUCACAUCAUUUUGGUCGAGUUAAAGAGGUCGAAUUCGAGUUCGCCGGUGAGUUUCAGUUCGUUGGUCAUGGUUGAAUUUUCUGAUUCUCGAUUCAGUGUGGAUUCAGUCCAAUUUCUCAGAAGAAAAUUAUCAUUAAAGGUCUAAUUCUCUUUCUUUUUUUGUGCAUUUUUAUGUUACAACUUUGCUGUUGAUUGCUUGACUUUGCAAAUUGAUUUUGUGGCUGAUAUUAUAAUUUGUAUGUUAGUAGUAUGUUCUUGACAGAAUAAUUGUUAUGCUUUAAAUCACUUAUUCUUUAGUUAACAUAAGAAAUGAAUUGGAUUUGGAUUAUGGGUUUAGUUAAAAAGUUGAAAUUGAAGAUGAUGCUAUCUUGAAGACAGGGAAGUGAUUUAAACUUAAGAAUAUUUUUGAUUAAUUUUCUUGUUUGAUUUUAUUCUAUUAAUGGCCAUGGGGUCGGGACAUAAAGGAGUAGAAUUGAAAUUUGUGUAUUACAUGUUUACUACUUUAUUUUAUUUUGACCGCUAGUAGCAUGCUUAGGACGACCACACUAGGGUAGGCAAAUUUUAGGUCUCGUCUUUUAUUUCAUUCGAGGUGAGAGCUUGUUCCCUUUAGUCUAUAUUUAGGAGAAUGCCCCGUAGAUAUUGUAUAUAGUAUUAUCCGGGGGUAUGCCCCGUAAUGAAUGUAAUUGAAGGCCGUGACGGACAUCGUGGAAUGAGCAUAGUGUAGACUCUUUGUAUUUUUAUCUUAUUUUAUUUAGAUGGGGACGACCUCGAGCCUCUUGUGUGUUUUUGCCUUAGUCUGAGUAUUCUUUAAAGCCAACUAGAUCAAGUACACAAUCGUGACUUUCACGGGACUUGGGGAAUGCCUAACACCUUCUACCCAAGUCAAAUAAAUCCCCUUGUCAUGAAUAUUUGGUGCAGACUAUGUUUAGAGUCAAAUGUGUUUUGAAGAAAAUUUUUUAUUUUAAAAACGGUGACUUGGCACACCGAAACGAAAUAUCAGGUGGCGACUCUGAUAAAAUCCUUCGAAACACAAAACUCUUGUCACUUUUAAUUUAAAAACCCUUUUAAGCUUCAAAAUUUUUUACUACUUUAAAGGGGUUAGUGAGGUGAAAAAGGGGUGUGACAGAUUUGGCGACUUUGCUAGGGAGUUGCAGGUUCGAACGACACUUGAUCUUGUUGGAUUUUUAGAAUAUUCGGAUGAGGUUUUUACGCUUUUUUAUUUUCUUUAUGUGAUUUUUAUUUUGUUUAUGUUGUUUUAUUAUUUGCUAGUUGUUUUAUGUGUUUACAGUUUUUCUUUUAUAUGUUGCUGCUUUAUAACUGUCAUCAUAUGUCAAUUCUUUCUGCAACAAGUCUCGUAGUAUGUGUUGCGUACACAAACUCUUUAUUGAGUCACCCUUAUUAUAGGAGGAGGCCGUUUGAUGUAUGGAGUGGGUGAAAAGCUUGAGCAGCCACUAUCGACCAUACGCUCCCCCGAAUUGCCUUGUUAGUGAACCCCAAAACGUAGGUCAGCCUUUAGGUCAUUUUUAUUUGCAUCAUAUCAUUUAGACCUACCAAGGCUCGGUCCCAGGCACCGUGUCCCUUUGUAGGAGGCCUAUCCAAAUUAUAUCAAAAUGGGUCAGUGGCCCAAAAAGACAUUUAAUCAUCCCUAUGUGUUACAUGUUGUAUUCUUUAAGAGUAAAAGGUGUCAUUUGGCGGAUCAAUAAUGGUUAAGGGUAAAUGAGAAAGAAAAGAGGGUGAAGUGUAAAAAUGAAUCAAGCAGGGCCCAUUUAUAUUUUUCUUUCACAAUUUUUUUUCAAGAAAAAGACCAAAAAAAUGAAAAUGAAAAAUCCAAAAAGAUUUUGCACAUUCCCAUCAUUUUUCAAAAAGACAAAAAAUAUGUUUUCUCCAAAUCGGUUGUUUUUUCAAAAUUCUCUCCCAUAUCCAAUCUUCCCGAACUAUGCAUACCUGAUUCUCGUCUUUCGGGACGGGAUACGUAGGCAGCCCAUAUAGGGCCUGGUCUUCCUAUUGAGUCUUAGGUUCUUGGCUUCAGGAAGUCAUAGCCAAAUCUUGCAUGUCUAGCCACGUUUGGCCAUAUUGAUCAUUUUGCAAAAUAGUGAUAUUUUCUCAAACUGGAUUAUUAUUCCAUGUUCCGUAAGUCCACAACAAGGCGUUCUCUCAAUUUUAAGGUCCAUUCCUGUUGAAUUUGCAUGUCUAGUCACUUUUGCCCACAUCAUCCAUUCUUGCAAAAUAGGGUCAUUUUCGCGAAAGUGGUUUAGCGACCCAUGUAUUACAAUAUUGAGUCCACAACUAGGUGUCAUAUUACUUUAAGACCGUCUUUAUUGAAUUUUCAUCUUUAGCCACGUUUGUCCAUAUCGGCCAUUUGCAAAAUGGGUCAUUUUUGCAAAGUAAUUUCUAGGGCCAUGAUUAUUAGAAAUUUGAAGCCAUAUAAACCUUAGUGACGCAUUCCAUGUAUUAUAGGUCACCUUUGUUGAGUUUGCACUAAUAGCCACCCUUGGCCACGUAGGUCAUUUUGCAAAAAUAGCCCAAUCAUGUCUUGCAUGUGUCCAAUAGGAGGUGUUGUUGCGUUGCAUAGUGUCUUGAGUCACUAACCUUAUUUAAUCUUAUUCUUCUCAUUCAGGUAUGGAUCCAUUUGUCAGUGCUUGAGCAUGACAGACGCCCCAGGACCAUCCAGUCAGGACCACUACAUUUAGGAGUUGCUUGAAGAGACUUUUUAUAUUUUUGAGUAUGUUUUCAUGUUUCUUUUACUUUCUAGUCUUGGUUAUUGUACUUCCUGUUUUGUAUUUGAAAACAAAAAAAGGUUUAUAAAUGGAAAAUCUAAAAAUAUUUUUAUUUUUAGUUUAUUUUGUCCAUUACUUUUCCAGAACUACGCUUGAUCUUAUUCAUGUGGAACAUGAUAUGUAGGCAACCUAUAUAGGAUUCGAUCGAAUCAUUUUUUUAAAAUUAAAAACAAAUAUGAAGUUAUAGAAUGUGAUACAUGAGAGGAAAGAAAAGAGUGAUAAUUAGAAAGAAAAGAGAGAGAGGAAAAUGAGCAAGCCAAGAAGUGCUAGAAAAGAAAGAAAAAAGAAGAUUGAAAUGAACAAAAUUGGGAUGAUGCCAAGUGACCUUGUGACCCUCAAAGUCACUGUAGAACUGUUCAUUGUUGUUAGGUGCAUUGCACACAAUGUGAUAUUUUUAUCUGAUAAAUGCCCUAACGCUAACAUGUUGGCUUUGUUUUGCUCCUUUUUGUUAGUUUGUGGAGUCGAAAUUUGAAUUGAAAGAGGAGGUCCAAAGUUUGAAAUAGCAGAUGGCAGAAAUGUAUCAGGCUUGGAUUAGGGGGAAUCCUCCACCUUUAUUCCCCACUAAAUACACUGAAAACCCUACAACUAUCCCACCACUAUCACAAGACCAGGUUCCCAUUAUUGUUGAUCUUCCCCCUCAACAUGCACCAGACUUUACCCCUUACCACAACUACCCUGACACCUCAUCCCAAACUUUCCAUGCUCCACCAGCCAAAACAACCUCAUACCCUGCUCCGACAUCCACUCCUAUUUUUGUAGCCCCUCCAUAAUCUACCCUCCAUCGAUCUUCUAGUGAACAUGCAUUCAAAGCUCUCGAUGCCUAAUACUAUGCUCUAGAACCAACCUUCAAGGUCUCAGAUCCUUAUUGUUACACCCGUCACUUUGAGCCUCCUGUUGAAACCGAGAAGCCAUCUAAGAACGUGGAGCAAGAUGAGAUAUUCAGUAAAGUGAAGAGUUUAGAGCAAUCUUUGAGGAACAUGCAAGGGAUAGGAAGCCAAGUAAGUGUGGCUUACAAGGAUUUGUGCUUGUUUCCUGAUGUCUAACUUCCCACUGAGUUCAAGAUGCCAAAGUUUGAUUUGUAUGACGGACAUGGAGAUCUCGUGGCCCAUUUGAGAGGUUACUGUAGUAAGAUAAGAGGCACCGUUGGAAAGGACAAAUUAUUGAUGGUCUAUUUCAGUUUGAGUCUGAGCGAGGCAGCUCUAGAAUGGUACACCCGCCAAGAUGCUAGCAAGUGGUAUACAUGGGACGAUAUGGCUUAGGCCUUUGGCCAACACUUUCAGUACAAUAUAGAAAUUGUCCCGGAUCGCAUGUCCCUCACCAAGAUGGAAACGAAGCCUAAUGAAAGCUUUAGGGAAUACAUGCUCAGAUGGAGAGAGCAAGCUGCCAGAGUCAAUCCCCCGAUGGAAAAAGACGAGAUGGUCGAGUACUUUCUUCAAGCUCAAGAGCCUACUUACUUUGGGCAUUUGAUCUCGGCUCUGCAUAAGCCUUUUAAUAAUGUGGUAAAAAUGGGAGAAAUGGUAGAAGAUGGGCUGAAGUCAAGCAAGAUCAUGAGCUAUUCUACCUUAAAAUCCACAACACAAGCAAUUCAGAAUGACAUAUGAAGCUUGCUUGAACAUGAUGAUAUUUCCAUGGUUGUCUCACAAUCACAACAUGACCCAAUAGUUUUGCCUCACCAAUAUACUCAGUCAUGACCCUAACCCCAACCCCAACCCUAUCCCCGAGCUUCACAUAAUCCACCCCAGUAUUAUCCUUCGAACAAUGUUCGGUCAUCUGUCCAACCACUGGGUCACUCCUUGUGGCAAGCACCAGCAUCGCAUAACACUCUUUCACCUUUAAAACAUUUUUGAGCACCCAACAACCCUAGAAAAUAGGGGCAUGGAGGGGAACAAAACCACUGGGUCACUCCUUAUGGCAAGCACCAGCAUCGCAUAACACUCUUUCGCCUUCACAACAUUUUCGAGCACCCAACAACCUUAGAAAAUAAGGGCAUAGAGGGAAAAAGGCAAAGAAAUAGUUUCAUGCCAAUCAGGGAAUCCUACACAAGCUUAUUUGAAAGGUUAAAACAUUCUGGCCUGAUUAAUCCGCUCCUCGGCAUACUCUGGACCCAUAUGCAAAAGGUUUUGAUCCUACUGUACGAUGUAUGUACCCCUUUAAUGUCCAGGGCAUAACAUUAAAGAUUGUCGUGCUUUAAAAAGGAAAAUAGAAAGAAUGAUUCAAGAAGGGAUAAUUGUGGUCCAAGGAAGUAAUACCCAAGUGUCACACAUAAUCCUCUACAGGUACAUAACAACACAACAUCUCUUAGGUGGUCAGUCGUUAAUUCAACAAUCCAUGCUAAGGAAGGGUUAGUCAAAGGAGUUAAUAAGCCACUUGGUGAAGACAAUGUGAUUGAAAUUGGUGAAGGUCCCAGUAAUUUUGAUGUGCAACUCAUUGACUAAGAUCUCGAGCUUGGUAAUUAGAAAACACCUCCUUUCCUCGCUAGAAUGGAGUCUUGGUAGUUUAUUCUGUCAUCUUUUCUGCUAUCUAGGUUAUUUAUGGAUUGUAAUCCAGAUUUCAUCUUGUUUAUUUUGGUGAUUCAAAUCCUUCUAUCCUCUUUUGCCUAUCUCUACGAGUCUUGUUAAUUAGUUCUGUUCUCUAAGUCUAUCAUCUAGGGUUGUUUCGGGGCUUUAAUCAAGAUUUUAUUCUGCUGUUCAAAUCCUUCUGUCCUUUGGUCAAAUGAGAUUUUUGUUUUUUGUUAUUUCUAGUCUUUAUUACUUUUUUUUCUUCUUCUUAUAUAUAGCACUCUUCAUGCCAGUUCCAGUGACAUGGCAUGCAUGUAGAGUUUUUAGCCAGAUCUUGAAAGCUAGUCUAAUCACGGAAUAACGAAACACAGUUUUGAAUAUGAUAAAAGAUGCGUUUGAGGAAAUAAAUGAAGAUUCACGCAUUCUAAGAUAACCUAAAACUUGAAUUGAGUGAAACUGAAGCAGUUAGUCUGGAAAUCAAGAGGUUGAUAAGAGCAUACAACAAGGAAAUGUCUCUCAAGUAGUUUGAGGUAUAUCAGUCAGUGUUGAAAUACAUAUUUUCACAUCAAAAUAAGGUUGAGUUAAGUCUUAUCCAGACUGACAAGGAUCAGCCAUUAGGACAAAGGUAUUGUCCAUUGGCACUUUGUGUUUGUGUUGAUACCAUCAAGAGAUAUUGUGCAUGGUUCUUCUGCUUAUUUGCAAUUGCAUGAUUUGCACUUGGAUUUCUCAAGAUUUGGUAUGACGAAGGCAUAUUAUUUUGUUACCCCAAACACUUUUAUCCUUCACUACCUUUUUGAGCCUUAAUUCAUUUUCUUUCAUACCCCUCUUUUGGAAUUAGAAAUAGAUUUAGAAAAGAGAAAGAAAAAAAAUAAAAAUAAAAAGUAAAAGAAAAAAAUUCAUAAAGUAUUUGUCGGAACUAUGUUCGACCUGAUUCCUUUGAAGGAUACGUAGGCAACCUUACUAUGAGGUUUGGUCCUAACAAAAUAAAAAUUUAAAAUUCCCCAGACUCAAUGAAACUGGGGCAGAAGUUUUAGUUUUGUAAAUAGAUCUGAUUCCAAAAGUUGUAAGUUAAAACCCCGUUCAUUUUAGUUGUUUUGAGUCUUUAUAACACCCUUUCUUUUGAACCCUAUCCAAAAGCCUACAUUACGGUCCAAAGAAAGACCUUCCGACCAAUCUUUGACGAUGCCAAGUCUAGUGUGUGGUAAAGGUAUGACCUUCUUGAAUCAUGGGCAAUACCUUGUUCUCAGUACAAAGAGGCAAAACGAUAAAAAUGAGAGAGUCUUAUCGGUGAAAACCCUCACGGGCACCAUAAGGCGACAGUGAGUUGAGAAAAGAAAAAAUAAGAAAGGUUUGAUGGUGAAAACCCUUCAGGGCUCUACAAGUUGAUUGAGUAUCGUAAAUUAGAUAGGACAAUUGGCGCGUUGAAGUACAAUUUCAAAGCUUAGAGAUAUGACAAGAGUUGAAGAUUAGACUUGCUUAAUAGAUCAGACCGCUUAAUCCAAAAUGCAUGUCAUGAUUAGUGGGGUUGGUCUUCAAAUCAAAUUGGUUUCUACUUUGUUCUUUUUCCUGGAUGAAAAUUUUCUUAUUAAAUACCAUCUCUUCUCAUUCUUCCCCUUAUGUUGUUCCUCUUGUUACGAUUUAGUCCCUUUUAAGACUAUUUUUGUCUAAAUAAUUGAGAAAUAAUUUCAAAAUCUGCUACCAGCUUUUUAAUUACACAAAGCAAAGUCCGACAAGCACAUCAAUGUGGUGUAAGACAUGGGGAAUAUUGUGUGCACUGAGUUGAUGACAAUAGAUGUUCUUUGGGAUUCAUGUAAAAGGAAAUGAUUCGGUGAAUGUUAGAAUACGAGUGCAAUGCAUCGAGUAUAAGGUAUUGGACUUGAAAAGGAAUAUCUCUUGUGAUAAGUGUUGUCCAGAAAAGUAGUUGGCUGAUAAGAAGUACUGUCUUCCAAGCUGAAAUCAAAGUUGAUCAUGACAAGUGCAAGAGAAAUCGCCCUCGUAGUUAAGGCCACAAACUAACCACCAUGUUUUAAAUUCACAAGUUUUCUUUGUAUGAAACAUGGAUGAAGGCUAUGUUCAUAUCAAAGCUUGGAAGCCUGAAUUUUUCUGGUGUAAUGCCCCAAUUCUGCUUACGCAAAGGCUAUUGAGAAGAUCAUACCUCCUAGGCAUUUUCCCUAGUUGAGAAUAAUUAUACCUCCUAGGCAUAUCCCUAGUUGAGAGGAAUCUUUGGCUUUCUUUAAGUUCAAGAGUCUCGCCCAGAAAAUAGGGUUGCAUCUUAGUCUUUCCUAAGCUAUCAGUUCAAUUUCCUUAAGUUGUUAAUCUUUAGCUUUCCUUGAGUUCAGGAGUCCCGCCUGGAGAAUAUGGUCAAUUUUUGUUUCCUUAAGGUAUUAAUCUUUAGCAUUCCUUGAGUUCAGGGGUCCCACAUGGAGAAUAGGGUUAGUUUUCAAUUUCGUUAAGUUGGUAAUUAUUAGUUUUCCUUGAGUUUAGGGGUCCCACUUGGAGAAUAGGGUCAUUUUUUACUUUAGUCAAGCUUAGUUUAUAGUUUUCCUCAAGCUCAGUUUCACAUCUAGGAGACGCAUUUCCUAGUCUGAGUCUUUCUUGUUAUACUUUUUAGGAGACGUACUUCCUAAAUUGAUAUUUCACCCCUAGGAGAUGUACUUCCUAGUUUGGGUCAUUUAAGUUCAUCCCUAGGAGACACACGUCCUAGUUUGAGUCAUUGAGAUUUUACCCCUAGGAAAUGCACUUCCUAAUCGGGGUCUUUCAAGUUAUAUUUUUAGGAGACGCACUUCCUAAACUGAGAUUUUACCCCUAGGAGAUGCACUUCCUAGUCUGGGUCUUUUAGGUUAUACUUUUUAGGAGAUGCACUUCCUAAAUUGAGAUUCCACCUCUAGGCAACGCACUUCCUAGUUUUGGUCGUUUAAGGUUUAAGUUCAUCCAGGAGACGCACUUCCUAGUUUGAGUCAUUCAUGCCUCACCUCUAGGAGACACACUUCCUACUUUGAUUCAUUCAAGUUUCACCAUAGGAGAUGCACUUCCUAGUUUGGGUUAUUCAAGUUUUAUCCCUAGGAGACAUAUUUUGUAGUUUAGUUAUUCUAAUUUCACCCCAAAGGAGACACACUUUCUAGUUUGGUUAUUCUAAUUUCACCCCAAAGAAGACGCACUUCCUAGUAUGGGUCUUUCAAAUUUUAUUUUAGGAGACGCAUUUCCUAAUUUUAGGUUACAAAUAUCACCCCUAAGAGAUGCACUUCCUAGUUUGGGUUAUUCAAGUUUCAUCCCCAGGAGACACACUUCCUAGUUUGAGUCAUUCCUUUUUAUACUUUUUUAGGGGAUGCACUUCCUUUUCAAAGUUUGUUAAUUUUACUCUUAGGGGAUGCACUUCCUAGUUUAUGUUUUUUUAGUUUUACUCACAGGAGACGCACAUCCUAGUCGAGUCUUUGGUUUUACUCUCAUCAUCGCAGCCUUCAUCAAUAGAAUAUGUGAUUUACAGUUUUGCUAAAAACUCACAAAUUUUUUCAGUGCAAACUGGGGUAGAAAAUUUUGUUCGUUUUGUUGGUUUUGAUUGCAGGCACCAACCUGGAGAACGAGGGUCGAUAUUUCAGAAAUUGGUUUCAAGGUUCAAAUCAGUAACAAGCGCCCACCUGGAGAAUGAGGGAAUUCAAUUCUUUUCAGAUUUAUUUCAAGUUUCAAGUCGAUAGAAGGCGCCCACCUGGAGAACGAGGGAAUUCAUUUCAGAGUUAAAUUCAAGUUUCGAGUCAGUAGCAAGCGCCCACCUGGAGAACGAGAGAAUUCAUUUUAGAGUUAAAUUCAAGCUUCAAGUCAGUAGCAAGCAUCCACCUGGAGAAUGAGGGAAUUCAUUUUAAAGCCAUUUCAAGUUUCAAUUUAGUAGCAGGCGCUCACCCGGAGAACAAGGAAAUUCAUUUCAAAGACAAUCCAAGUUAGACGUAGCAGAAGUUCGCCUCAAGGAUGCGAGUCAACAGUUCGAGAUGCACGGCAAGACCGAGAAAAGAUUCAAGACAGAAGAGUUGACAGGAUUUUGUGGUUUUCUUGUAAUUUUUAUCUUAUUUGGUUUUAUUUUGAUGUCUUGACAGGAACCACGGACCGGAACCACGACGAUACUUCAAUCGACUCUCUCCACCUCGUUAUCCUUCUCCACUCUUUUUACUUCUGAACUAUACGUGACCUGAUUCCUUUAUAGCCAAGAAUAUGUAGGCAACUCAGAUAACAGAGUUCGGUCACAAUCUUUUUAUCCAUCUUUAUUUUAUUUUGAAUAAGUGUCAGGUCAGAAAUUAAUUACGUUACUUACUUAAUUAUUUGCUAAAAAACUUUUCGAGUUUUCAAGAAAAUAGGGGCAGGUGUAAGCACGUAAUUUUUGACCCGUACUAUUUUUAAAGUUAGUGUUUCUAAAAUAUUUACUUAUUUUUAUUUUUUCGUAGGAUUUUAGUCUACUUUUACUUUAAUUUAAAUUUAGAAUAUGAAUUUGAAAACAUAAAAAAUAGUUUCAUCUUUUCUCUUAUUUUUAUUUAAUUAAGUUAUUAGUAUUUUUGUAGUGAUAUUAUUUUAAGAAUGAAUUUUUGGAUUAGUUCUUAUUUUUAUGUCACAAGACCAACAUUUUGAGCCAAAUCAGGCCAAAUUUUAGGCCUAAAUUCGGAGCCCACUUCUUCCCUAACCCAGUAGCCCAACUCCCCUUAAACCCUAGCCUUUUAUUUUAUUUAAUCCAAUGGUCCAUAUUAACCCCCAAAUCCCAUAUAGCUUGAUCUUUAAAAUAAAAAAGACCUAGGCUUUUGAACCCUAAGAAGAAGGAGGUCAGCCGUCACCUAACCCCCCAUCUUCACCUUAGAGCCAUCUCACCUCCUUUCAUAGAUCCAGCCACCACACCAACCUUCUCUGCCUAUCGCCGCUGCGCCACCACUAAAGAAAAAAAGGCAGUCACUCCACCCUCAACAAAAACUCACCGAAAACCUAGCACACCCCACCCUUCUUGAUAUCCCAACGAUCCCACUCUCCCUUUCACUUUGAGAGAACACAACCAAUCUCUCAUCUCCCAAAAUUGAAAGAAACGGCAAAAAACAGAAGGGGAAGGGGAUUUGGAAAAUGAAACAGAGAAGAGAACAGACUACCCUAGAGCUAACAGCCGCACUCCCUAAAGUUUGAGACUCUAAUCUCUCUAUUUCUCACGUCUCAUCAGUGACUUCCAUACCCCUAUUCUCAUUUCCCCCAUAUCUCUCUCCCUUUCCGUAGCUACUGUCGUCGCCAUCAUUUAAGCCAUGGUCACCGAAAAUCUGUCGCUCGCCUCAUUUUGGUCAAGUUAAAGAGGUCGAAUUCGAUUUCGCUAGCGAGUUUCAGUUCGUUGGGCUUGGUAGAGUUUUUUUAUUCUCGAUUCAGUGUGAAUUCAUUCCAAUUUUUCAGAAAAAAAUUAUCAUUAAAGGUCUAAUUCUCUUUUGUUUUUUGUGCAUUUUUAUGUUAUAACUUUGUUGUUGAUUGCUUGACUUUGCACAUUGAUUUUGCGGCUGAUAUUAUAAAUUGUAUGUUAGUAUGUUCUUGGCAGAAUAGUUGUUAUGCUUUGAAUCACUUAUUCUUUAGUUGAGAGCACAAGAAAUGAAUUGGAUUUGGGUUAUAGGUUUAGGUAAAAAGUUGAAAUUGAAGAUGAUGCUAUCUUGAAGACAUGGAAGUAAUUUGAACUUAAUAAUGAUUUUGAUUAAUUUUCUUGUUUGAUUUUAUUCUAUUAAUGGUCAUGGGAUCGGGACUAAAAGGAGCAGAAUUGAAAUUUGAAUAUUACAUGUUCACUACUUUAUUAUUUUAUUUUGACCGCUAGUAGUAUGCUUAGGCCGACUACACUUGGGUAGACGACUUUUAGGUCUCGUCUUUUAUUUCAUUCGAGCUGAG